UAAGGAAUAUUGGUCAAUGGACGCAAGUCUGAACCAGCCAUGCCGCGUGAAGGAAGACGGCCCUACGGGUUGUAAACUUCUUUUGUACGGGAAAAAAUCUCCGGUCGUGAAUCGGAGCUGAUGGUACCGUAAGAAUAAGCAUCGGCUAACUCCGUGCCAGCAGCCGCGGUAAUACGGAGGAUACAAGCGUUAUCCGGAUUCAUUGGGUUUAAGGGGUGCGCAGGCGGAAUGAUAAGGCAGUGGUGAAAUCCUACGGCUCAACUGUAGAACUGCCAUGGAUACUGUCGUUCUUGAGUACACUUGGGGUGGGCGGAAUGUGUCAUGUAGCGGUGAAAUGCUUAGAUAUGACACAGAACACCGAUCGCGAAGGCAGCUCACUAAAUUGUAACUGACGCUCAGGCACGAAAGCGUGGGGAUCAAACA
Molecule: ribosomal RNA, 423 nt
Filed under: uncultured prokaryote
Description: bacterial SSU rRNA
Rfam family: Bacterial small subunit ribosomal RNA
Source: RNAcentral